Daphnia carinata is the source of this 1443-nucleotide long non-coding RNA. RefSeq lists it as uncharacterized. The record is from RefSeq and is a predicted model, not a curated record. Lineage: Eukaryota; Metazoa; Arthropoda; Branchiopoda; Diplostraca; Daphniidae. The transcript is spliced from 4 exons.
CGACUACCACAGCUGAUUUCAACUGAUUUUGGCAGAAGGAAUCACACCUGACGUGCUAACUGAUUCGAAGUCGUAUAUCAGCUAAUGACAUUCUAAGUACAAUCCACCGGCGAGUGUUUUGAAAUUUAGAUCACGAAACUGGCUAUGGGAAAAAGUUACAAGAUUUGGCAUAAAAUUAAUGGGCAGGGACUGUACAGUGUUUUGCUUGAACAACGAAACCGAGACGAAGUUCUUCUCUUUGAAUCUUUAGUUAUUGCUGCUUUGGGUCCUGCUGAGGUUGACGUAAUAAAAAAGUUGUAUACAAAACUUUAUGACACAUAUGGAUGUCUUGGUGAACUAUUUAUAGUUAAUACAGGUUUUUCAAAUGAACUAGAAUAAAAAUUGAAAAUAAUUUUCAACUUUGAUACUUCAAUCUAUUUCGGAGAUGGGUCCUUGCAAUAUACCUAGUCUUGGUUACAGGUUGUGUUUCUGUUGGAAAAAUGGGGGAAUCAGAAGUGUUUCGAAUCAAUCAAACAAGCUUUAUACCCUUAAAAGGACCACAGACAUUAGAAGAAGAAAGAGUGCCUGAGCUUUGGAAGCUGUUUAACUCUGGAACAUUGUAUUUCCUCUGGUCAUCUGAUGACUACCCAAUUGAUGCUACAUUAUGCACCCAAAAGCUCCAGCAGAAUCGUGGAACAGACAACAGAUUCUUCUAGAAUAGGCUUUUGCACUUACCAUUGCAACACUAUGGAAUUGAGUGUUCUCACUGGCUGUUACGAGUUAUACGUGUGGCAGUGUUGAAAUCUGACCUGUUUAUGCUGGUCAUUGUCAGUUUAAGGCAGCUAUCAUCUCCCGUCUUAGUUGCAAGCGGGCCGGUGCACGAUUCAAUGUACUGUACGUGGCGUCAACGAUGAAGGCCAUGUUACAAAUUUCGUCGAAACGGAACAGCUAAUCUAUGGCGAUCAAGGUGAUGCGUCGCCUUUUCUUCAAACACGUGGCUCUGUCCCUAUUUUCUGGGAGAAACCAGGAGUUCAAGUACGGUCGCACAAAUUCAGAUUCUCACGCGGUCCCGAAGCCUCGUCACCAGCUCUAGAACGCCAUUUGAAGCUCAUGCAAGAGCGUUAUCAUGACACAGCUAUCGUGAAUCUACUCGGUCUCAACAUGGUUGGUGCUAAAGAAGGGAAAACUUCACUUAGUCAAUUCUUCCAAGCUGACCAGAAACGCUAUUAUGAGUCGAUGCCUCACAUCAUGUUCGACUGUCACCAAGAAUCCAGAGGUGGUAACCUCCAGAAUAUCGCAAAAUUGAAACAAAGCCUGCAGCCUAUCUUUGAGAGCCAUUCCUUCUUCUUACUCAAAAAUCAGCAAGUUGUAUCUCAACAAAAAGGAGUUAUCCGAACCAACUGCCUCGACUGUUUUGAGCGAACAAACUGUGCGCAGACAUUCAUCGGCUUAGAGAUGGCAGCG